CCUACGGGAGGCAGCAGUGAGGAAUAUUGGUCAAUGGGCGCAAGCCUGAACCAGCCAAGUCGCGUGAGGGAAGACGGCCCUACGUGUUGUAAACCUCUUUUGCCGGGGAGCAAGCCUGAGCACGUGUGCCCAGGCGGAUAGUCCCCGGAGAAAAGGCAUCGGCUACCUCCGUGCCAGCAGCCGCGGUAAUCCGGGGGAUGCGAGCGUUAUCCGGAUUUAUUGGGUUGAAAGGGUGCGCAGGCGGGCUGUUAAGCCGGCGGUAAAAAUUCAGGGCUCAACCCUGUCGAGCCGUCGGAACUGGCAGCCUGGAGUGGGCGAGAAGUAGGCGGAAUGCGUGGUGUAGCGGUGAAAUGCAUAGAUAUCACGCAGAACGCCGAUUGCGAAGGCAGCAUACCGGCGCCCGACUGACGCUGAGGCACGAAAGCGUGGGGAUCGAACAGGAUUAGAUACCCGGGUAGUC
RNAcentral lists this ribosomal RNA (460 nucleotides) under uncultured bacterium. RNAcentral's name for it is "partial 16S ribosomal RNA". It matches the Rfam family "Bacterial small subunit ribosomal RNA", at positions 338 to 795 of the family's 1533-position model. The record is from RNAcentral.